CCCUGGAUAGCUCAGUUGGGAGAGCGUUAGACUGAAGAUCUAAAGGUCCCCGGUUCGAUCCCGGGUGUGGGCA
This 73-nucleotide transfer RNA is filed under the name Penaeus vannamei (Pacific white shrimp). Its description in RNAcentral is "Litopenaeus vannamei (Pacific white shrimp) tRNA". It matches the Rfam family "tRNA". Rfam says of the family: Transfer RNA (tRNA) molecules are approximately 80 nucleotides in length. Their secondary structure includes four short double-helical elements and three loops (D, anti-codon, and T loops). Further hydrogen bonds mediate the characteristic L-shaped molecular structure. tRNAs have two regions of fundamental functional importance: the anti-codon, which is responsible for specific mRNA codon recognition, and the 3' end, to which the tRNAs corresponding amino acid is attached (by aminoacyl-tRNA synthetases). tRNAs cope with the degeneracy of the genetic code in two manners: having more than one tRNA (with a specific anti-codon) for a particular amino acid; and 'wobble' base-pairing, i.e. permitting non-standard base-pairing at the 3rd anti-codon position. Lineage: Eukaryota; Metazoa; Arthropoda; Malacostraca; Decapoda; Penaeidae. The record is from Rfam by way of RNAcentral.